ACACACACACACACACACACACACACACACACACACACACACACACACACAGACACACGCCUAUUUCCCAUGGCAGUGUGGAUAACCUGUGUCCUUCCCUAUGAGGAUGCAGAAGAGGAGAGACUUUCUGAAACUCUGCAACUUUAUUUACGCGCAGUCUACUGAAAGCUGGGGAGAAUUUUUUUUAGGAGGACGCAGGAUCACGAGAAUGUCUCGGAGCAGUCUCAUCACCUCUGAGAACGACAUUGACAUAGGACUGGAAUUAACAGGGGACGAGGAUGAUGUUUCCACUUUGCAAGAGGGACAGGAGAGAAAAAGACACAGAGGAAGAAGAAAGGCUGGUGAAAGAGAGAAGAAGAAGAGACCACGAAGGAACAGAGAAGCAUCUGCAGCAGGAGAGGCCAAAGAGGAGGAAUCACAGGCCCAGCCUCAAAAAGGAAAGAGGGGCAGGAGAAGGAGAGAAAGGACUGAAGCAGAAGAAGCAGAAGGUAACCAGAGGGGUGAGGAGAAGCAUGCUAAAAUAAAAAGUGGUAAGGCAGAAAAAACGAGGAAGAAUGUAAGAAAUGAGAAAACACAAAAAAAAGA
Non-coding RNA from Labrus bergylta (ballan wrasse), 585 nucleotides. Lineage: Eukaryota; Metazoa; Chordata; Actinopteri; Labriformes; Labridae. The record is from RefSeq and is a predicted model, not a curated record.